RNAcentral lists this ribosomal RNA (622 nucleotides) under uncultured Geobacteraceae bacterium. RNAcentral describes it as "partial 16S ribosomal RNA". The stretch from base 77 to 622 matches the Rfam family "Bacterial small subunit ribosomal RNA", at positions 1 to 526 of the family's 1533-position model. The record is from RNAcentral. Lineage: Bacteria; Pseudomonadati; Thermodesulfobacteriota; Desulfuromonadia; Geobacterales; Geobacteraceae.
GSRMUGUAUAAGCUGUUUCAUUGGYUGUACAACGACGGCCWGUGGAUCCCKAWUCAUGGUCGSUCUGUUCCCAAUGCGUGCUUAAAGUUUGRUCGUGGCUGWKAACAAACGCUGGCGGCKUGCUUAACACWUGCRAGUCRAACGUGAUUGAGAGCUUGCUCUCRUGAAAGUGGCGCACGGGUGAGUAACACGUGGAUAAUCUGCCUGGCGAUUCGGGAUAACACUUCGAAAGGGGUGCUAAUACCGGAUAAGCCCACGGUCUCUUCGGAGAGCGCGGGAAAAGGGGGCCUCUGUAUAUGCUCCUGUCGCUAGAUGAGUCCGCGGCCCAUUASCUAGUUGGUAGGGUAAUGGCCUACCAAGGCUACSAUGGGUAGCUGGUCUGASAGGAUGAUCAKCCACACUGGAACUGARACRCGGUCCAKACUCCUACGGGAGGCAGCAGUGGGGAAUUUUGCGCAAUGGGCGAAAGCCUGACSCARCAACSCCSCGUGAGUGAUGAAGGCCUUCGGGUCGUAAAGCUCUGUCAGAGGGGAAGAACCGCCGGGUGGCUAAUACCUGCCUGGUCUGACGGUACCCUCAAAGGAAGCACCGGCUAACUCCGUGCCAGCAGCCGCGGUAAUAC